ACCACCUCCUUGAAAGUGGCUGAGUCCUUCUUCCUGACCCGGGCCUUGGAAAAACCAGCUUCUCUCUCUUUUAUUGUCUGUUCCCAACUUCUGUUCUGGAAGUUCCACUGAGCACCCCCGUACUCCCCACUCAUCCUUUCCAGCUAACUCUGCUCCCCUCUACUCUGAUUCCACUUUCUCCUGCCUUCACACUCUUUUUUAAUCAAAGAGAGAAUGGCUCUUCUGGACCGGCCCCCAGCUCCCCUUGGGAACCAUUUGUGUUCUGCACGGCCUGCUCAGCUGGACGCUUUAUACAAUUUCAGUGGAGUGAAGUUCAGGAGGCGUGGAGCUGACACCGGAGCAGCCCCACGACAAGCGCAUCUCUGACUUGGAAAAGGAAAGACCAGUGAGGGUGUGAGAGAUGGAGGCAUCAUCUGAAAUGUGUAUCCUUCUGCAGAGAGGACGGGCGGCGGGCCGACUGGAGAAAGCACCGCGAUGGGAACUGCUUGUCCUCUCUCAAAUGGACGUGUUUUCUGUAACUCAUAAAAAUUAAAAGUUGUUUGUUGGCUGGAAA
Long non-coding RNA from Vicugna pacos (alpaca), 553 nucleotides. RefSeq lists it as uncharacterized. The record is from RefSeq and is a predicted model, not a curated record. NCBI's taxonomy places the organism in Eukaryota, Metazoa, Chordata, Mammalia, Artiodactyla, Camelidae.